CUCACUUCUCGGCCUUUUGGUUAAGAUCAUGUGUAGUAUCUGUUCUUAUCAGUUUAAUAUCUGAUAUGUCCUUGAUGAGAGGACUUUAUAUUAAAUGGAUUUUUGGGUGUGAGCAUGU
RNAcentral lists this small nuclear RNA (118 nucleotides) under Opisthocomus hoazin. Its description in RNAcentral is "U2 spliceosomal RNA". It matches the Rfam family "U2 spliceosomal RNA", at positions 1 to 119 of the family's 192-position model. From Rfam's summary of the family: U2 is a small nuclear RNA (snRNA) component of the spliceosome (involved in pre-mRNA splicing). Complementary binding between U2 snRNA (in an area lying towards the 5' end but 3' to hairpin I) and the branchpoint sequence (BPS) of the intron results the bulging out of an unpaired adenosine, on the BPS, which initiates a nucleophilic attack at the intronic 5' splice site, thus starting the first of two transesterification reactions that mediate splicing. The record is from Rfam by way of RNAcentral. Lineage: Eukaryota; Metazoa; Chordata; Aves; Opisthocomiformes; Opisthocomidae.